GGAUCUGCGGCCCAUCAGCUAGUUGGUGAGGUAAUGGCUCAACCAAGGCUACGACGGGUAGCUGGUCUGAGAGGAUGAUCAGCCACACUGGAACUGAGACACGGUCCAGACUCCGUACGGGAGGCAGCAGGUGGGGAAUCUUGCGCAAGUGGGCGAAAGCCUGACGCAGCGACGCCGCGUGGGUGACGAAGGCCUUCGGGUUGUAAAGCCCUGUGGGGAGGAACGAACCGUCCGGGGGCUAAUACCCUCCGGGCCUGACGGUACCUCUUUAGCAAGCAUCGGCUAACUCUGUGCCAGCAGCCGCGGUAAGACAGAGGAUGCGAACGUUGCUCGGAAUUACUGGGCGUAAAGCGCGCGUAGGUGGCCUUGUAAGUCUCGUGUGAAAGCCCUCUGCUCAACGGAGGAAGUGCACGGGAUACUGCGAGGCUGGAGUACAGAAGAGGACAGCGGAAUUCCCGGUGUAGAGGUGAAAUUCGUAGAUAUCGGGAGGAACACCAGUGGAU
This 503-nucleotide ribosomal RNA is filed under the name uncultured bacterium. RNAcentral describes it as "bacterial SSU rRNA". It matches the Rfam family "Bacterial small subunit ribosomal RNA", at positions 227 to 717 of the family's 1533-position model. The record is from RNAcentral.